This 104-nucleotide small nuclear RNA is filed under the name Octodon degus (degu). Lineage: Eukaryota; Metazoa; Chordata; Mammalia; Rodentia; Octodontidae. The record is from RNAcentral.
GUGCUUGCUUCGGCAGCACAUAUACUAAAAUUGGAACAAUACAGAGAUUAGCAUGGCCCCUAUGCAAGGAUGACACACAAAUUCAUGAAGCGUUCCAUAUUUUU